CCCUGUCCUCCUAUUUUCAGUUGGUUUGCCGCGAGGACCAGGGUAAUGAUUAAUAGGGAUAGUUGGGGGCAUUAAUAUUUAAUUGUCAGAGGUGAAAUUCUUGGAUUUAUGAAAGAUUAACUUCUGCGAAAGCAUCUGCCAAGGAUGUUUUCAUUAAUCAAGAACGAAAGUUAGGGGAUCGAAGACGAUCAGAUACCGUCGUAGUCUUAACCAUAAACGAUGCCGACCAGCGAUUAGGAGACGUUGAAUACAAAACACCACCAUGCGCAUUGCGGUCGUCUUUGGUGUCGCUCACAAGGCGGCACCGGGGCGGCUUA
RNAcentral lists this ribosomal RNA (317 nucleotides) under Acanthamoeba sp. UIC 2713. Its description in RNAcentral is "SSU rRNA". It matches the Rfam family "Eukaryotic small subunit ribosomal RNA", at positions 820 to 1116 of the family's 1831-position model. The record is from RNAcentral. Lineage: Eukaryota; Discosea; Longamoebia; Acanthamoebidae.